This 237-nucleotide ribosomal RNA is filed under the name uncultured bacterium. Its description in RNAcentral is "partial 16S ribosomal RNA". It matches the Rfam family "Bacterial small subunit ribosomal RNA", at positions 99 to 334 of the family's 1533-position model. The record is from RNAcentral.
CGAACGGGUGAGUAACGCGUGAGGAACCUGCCUCAAAGAGGGGGACAACAGUUGGAAACGGCUGCUAAUACCGCAUAAGCCCACGGCUCGGCAUCGAGCAGAGGGAAAAGGAGCAAUCCGCUUUGAGAUGGCCUCGCGUCCGAUUAGCUAGUUGGUGAGGUAACGGCCCACCAAGGCGACGAUCGGUAGCCGGACUGAGAGGUUGAACGGCCACAUUGGGACUGAGACACGGCCCAG